RNAcentral lists this long non-coding RNA (363 nucleotides) under Homo sapiens (human). RNAcentral's name for it is "non-protein coding lnc-MTAP-7:1". The record is from RNAcentral. Lineage: Eukaryota; Metazoa; Chordata; Mammalia; Primates; Hominidae.
GAGUGAAUUCUAAGGAGUAUCGAGAACAGUGAUUAAAACAGAAGGUGGGGAGAGAGAGAGAGAGAGAGACAACUGCUGAACAUAGACCCAAGGCAAAAUAUCCUUGAGUAGAGGAACAGUGUGAGAGUGAAGCUGUAGUGCUGGUUGGGGUUAAUCAGGAUGGGCUCACUGGGCAAGACCAGGUUGUGGGGGGCAAAGGAGAUGGAAAAUUGUGUGAAGAGAAGAAGGGUGGACUAGGUAGAUAAAGGUAGUGGACUAGGUAAAUAAAGGUGGUAAUUCAGACAUCCACUUUAGGCUUCAAAUCACUUUAGGAGAAGUGGUGGUCUAUUGCUUUGCCCUUUAGUAGCAACAUGCUUAUUAUAC